This 1112-nucleotide long non-coding RNA is filed under the name Sus scrofa (pig). RNAcentral's name for it is "lncRNA (ENSSSCG00005028156.1)". Lineage: Eukaryota; Metazoa; Chordata; Mammalia; Artiodactyla; Suidae. The record is from RNAcentral.
GAGGGGCACGCGAGGGCUCGGUACGCUGUUCUCUCUUGCCAUUGGGCAUGUGUGAAAUUUCCCAAUAAUUUUUUUAUUAUUAUUCAAUUGUAAGUGUUUCUUUUUUUUUUUUCUUUUUACGGUUGCACCUGCGGCAUAUGGAAGUUCCCAGGGUACAUGUCUAAUUGGAGCUGCAGCUGCCGGUGUAUGUCACAGCCACAGCAACACCAGAUCCUUACUCACUGAGCGAGGCCAGGGAUCAAACCCGUAUCCUCACAGAGACAACGUCGGGGCCUCAACCCACUGCGUCACAAUGGGAACUCCCAAUUGUGUUUCUUAAUCAUGUUUUUAACCUAAGGAUUUUCCAAGGGUGUGUUAUUUGGUCUCAGACACAUAGGAUUUCUUUUAACAACUUUGUUGAGAUGUAAUUUACACACCAUAAAAUUCACCCGUUCCAAAGCUACAGCUGCUGGCCUACACCACAGCUACAGCAACACGGGAUCCGAGCCACAUCUGUGACCUACACUACAGGUCACAGCAAUGCUGGAUCCUUAACCCACUGAGCAAGGCCAGGGAUCAAACCUGCAUUCUCAUGAAUACUAGUUGGGUUGGUUUUCACUGAGCCAUGACAGAAACUCCCAAUUGAUUUAAUACAUUUAUAUUUCUUGAGCUUAUUCCUAGUAUUAUUCCCCUUUUUACCUCUGCAGCUGUAAGAACUCAUACAGAGGGACCCCUUGCUGUCUCCAGUGGUCAUGGCUUGCAAAACUGGCACAGAAAAAUCACAACCAGGAAUUGACACUGAUACCGUCCACCACUGUUAUUCUUGCUUCUGGAGUUCUGUUUGUAGCGUGCGUUUAGGCAUUGAGUUCUGGACAGUUUGUCGUCUGUGUGGGUUCCAUAACGCGCUAUCACAGACAGGUGGCUGCACGGUUCCGAAGCUGCGAGGAUUCUCACGUUGCCUUUUUAUGGCCACACGCGUUUCUCUCCCUCCUCCUGUCCCUCCUCAUGCCUGACCACUGGCAACCCUGAAUUUGUCCUCCAUUUCUAAAGUUUUUCAUUUCAAAAAUGUCAUAUAUCAAUGGAAUCAUACAGUUGAUAACCUUUUGGGAUUGGCUUUUUAUGCCCAGCGGUAA